UGACCUUGACCCCAGUGACCUCAAACCUCAUCAAAAGGUAGAGGUCCAUGCAAGGUAUCUACAUGCCAAAUAUGUAAGAGAUCGGUAAAGUAUUGAAGGUGCUAUGAGAAACUGUAACAAAAGUCUAUUAUUAGCCUUGGUGACCUUGACCCCAGUGACCUCAAACGUCAUCAAAAGGUAGAGGUCAAUGCAAGGUAUCUACAUGCCAAAUAUGAAAGAGAUCGGUAAAGUAUUGAAGGUGCUAUGAGAAACUGUAAUAAAAGUGUGAC
Dreissena polymorpha is the source of this 269-nucleotide long non-coding RNA. RefSeq lists it as uncharacterized. The record is from RefSeq and is a predicted model, not a curated record. NCBI's taxonomy places the organism in Eukaryota, Metazoa, Mollusca, Bivalvia, Myida, Dreissenidae. The transcript is spliced from 2 exons.